UACGAAGGGGGCUAGCGUUGUUCGGAAUUACUGGGCGUAAAGCGCACGCAGGCGGCGGAUUAAGUCAGGGGUGAAAGGCCUGGGCUCAACCCAGGAAAUGCCCUUGAGACUGGUCCGCUGGAGUACGGAAGAGGGUAGUGGAAUUUCCAGUGUAGAGGUGAAAUUCGUAGAUAUUGGAAAGAACACCGGUGGCGAAGGCGGCUACCUGGUCCGUUACUGACGCUCAUGUGCGAAAGCGUGGGGAGCAAACAGG
RNAcentral lists this ribosomal RNA (253 nucleotides) under uncultured bacterium. Its description in RNAcentral is "partial 16S ribosomal RNA". It matches the Rfam family "Bacterial small subunit ribosomal RNA", at positions 524 to 776 of the family's 1533-position model. The record is from RNAcentral.